GCCGAACCACCACGUGAGGAUGAAACUCAACCAACGCCAAGGAAUGACUAUAUUUUAAAAGUAAAAACAUGUUUUAUGGGUAUAUGUCGUUUUAACAUCCUUGACGAACUCGGUUGGAUGCCCGGGCCAAGGUGUCACCGAGUAUGAGUUUUGGCACAAGCCAAGUUUUUAAGAGAAUCAUAAGCCUUGUUGAUUAUUUCGAUGAAAUGUAAUUGUUUUA
Molecule: long non-coding RNA, 220 nt
Filed under: Theobroma cacao (cacao)
Lineage: Eukaryota; Viridiplantae; Streptophyta; Magnoliopsida; Malvales; Malvaceae
Description: long non-coding RNA (TCAC_LNC003950)
Source: RNAcentral